AGAACAAAUAUUAUGUAGGAGUUGAUAAAUGCAAUUAUGUGUAAACUAUUUUUUUUCAUGCAUUUAAUGAUAGUUUUGAGCUAAAUGAUCCUCAAAUUGAAAAGCACUAAAAUAAACUCUGAGAAGGUUGAAAAUUGACAUGGUAUCCUCAUUUCACCCACAUACCAUGUGCUAAAAAGUUGAGAGGGUUACAGUAAAAACUGAAUGCACAUCGUGCAUAAACUGGAUAAUUUCUUUCGAAGUAUGAGGGUUUCGGACGAAUACUCAUCUGUUACAAAGGCCUUUCAAUUUUACGCUUAUUUCAACUCCAGACUUUUUAUGCAUUUUAUAAGCACCAUUCAAAGUCACGUCAUUAAUUUUCAACCCUUUCUGACUUCAUUUGCUAUUUUUCAUUCAUUUAAUGAUUUUUGAGCUAUAUUACUAAAAGAGUUAAAAAAUUGUUUUUGAUUAAAACACAUGUUUAAAAUACACUAAAAAUUAUCAAAUUUAAUAUAAUGAUAAAACACACUAAUAUUAAACAUCAGGAAAAAGAAUCACUCAAAAAUCUAUUUUUGAACUAAAGUUAUUCACAAUCUAGUGAUUCACACAUAUUUCAAAGAAUUCAAAUUUGAAAACUACUCGCACUAGAAAGUCUAUAAUUUUUGUGACCUAAAUCAAUUAGAUUCAUUCAAAAACUAUAAAUAUUAUAACAGUUAUUACAAAUCUAAAAACAAAAGCUGUCAUGUUUAAAAAAACAAAACAAAUCGAAAAAAAAUAUAGACCUUUAGUCAUGGUUGGAACCACCAAACCGGGACUCAAGGUCCGUUCCCGCACCAAAUUUGGGCCGCCGAAAAGGUGACCUUUAGUCCCGGUUGGAGUCACCAACCGGGACUAAAGGUCCUUCCCCACGCCGAAUUUGGGCCGCCGAAAAGGAGACCUUUAGUUCCGGUUGGUGGUUCGACCCGGGACUAAAGGGAGGCCAUUAGUGCCGGUUGGAGCCACUAACCGGGACUAAAGGUCUCUCAUAUAUAGUCGCGUCGUCCCGGUGCCAGUUAUAGCAUGGGAGAACUCAUCAACGGCGCCGCCAGGCCGCCCCGACGCCGAACCGCUCUCGUCGCCGCCCUCGUCUCCGACUGUCAACACUGCCAGACCGCCCCGACGUCGAAGCGCUCGUCGCCGCUCCUCGUCACUGCUCCUUGUCGCCGUCCUCUUCUCCGGCUGCCGACACCAAACCUCCAUGUCGCCCACCCCAUCGCCGCCCUAAUCUCCGGCCUUGAGGUGACCCACCGACACCUCCUCCUUCCCCGACAUCCCCCUCUGUUUUGCCACUUACGCGAGCAGCAACAUAAAGCUUAAUUAGUAUUAGGGGAAUAUUAUUCAUAUGUUUGAGCUUAAUUAGUAUAUGAUUAUGCAAGUGUGUGCGUGUGUAUUUGUUGUAGCGGCAUUUAAGCAUUUUGUGAAUGUUCAUAUUUAAGAAAAAUAUGAAGUAUUAGGGGAAUAUUCAAUACAGAUGAAAAUUAUCUUCCGAC
Molecule: long non-coding RNA, 1508 nt
Filed under: Hordeum vulgare
Lineage: Eukaryota; Viridiplantae; Streptophyta; Magnoliopsida; Poales; Poaceae
Description: long non-coding RNA (HVUL_LNC014699)
Source: RNAcentral